This is a long non-coding RNA of Saccostrea cuccullata (small rock oyster), 1366 nucleotides long. RefSeq lists it as uncharacterized. The record is from RefSeq and is a predicted model, not a curated record. The transcript has 4 exons. Lineage: Eukaryota; Metazoa; Mollusca; Bivalvia; Ostreida; Ostreidae.
UCAUUAUGCGAGGAAUCAGAGACAACUUUGAAACAAUUAUAUUUAAUGUACAAAAUGUAGCGAUCUCGGUCAUUGGGAUUAGUGGGGACAGAAUAGGUCGAAGUAUGGACAUUAGAGUGCUAGAAGAGGAGAUUCAAAGGAACCGACCACAGAAGCUAACUUUACAUAUUGCGGGAAACGAUAUCGAUCAGCCGCAGGCCGAUGAGGAUUCGGUUAGGGAGAUUGUGUCAAAAAUAAUGGCAGCAUGUGACUUGUUUUUAAACCGGUAUCAUUUAAAUAAGAUAUAUGUGUGUCAGUCGUUACCAAGAUAUUCCACCAGACACUGCCGAGUUGUUUUAACGUUAUAUAAUAAGUAAAUAGUCUUGGCAAAUCAACUUUUAAAAGAAGAAGUUAAAAACAGAAGGCAGGUUGUGUACUGGAAGUUAAAGGGCUUGAAGAACUCUGUAGUGAAUAACUUUUGUGAUUAGGGCAAUCAGGGGUGCUGUGAUACAUAGUACAAGUGAUAGCUAGAUAAAUAGUUUGUAUGUCAUUUAGCCAUAUAACAAUUAUGGUUAAUUUGCAUCUUAAGUUUAUGAAACAGGCAAUACAUCUAUAUGUACCUUAGCCUUAGUACCCUAGUGACUUAGAACAUCUUACAAAACGGAGAGCCAGUCCAAGAGUGGGAAAUACAGAAAGGGACCCUUGUGAUCAAGCAUUUAUUUUUACUUAGAACAAGAUGAGUACCGGUAAUAGGCCUACAGACUAUGGGGUGGUUACAAAGCCAGUUAAUUUACAACAAGAGGAAGUCGCAAGUGACACUCCAACAAGCAACAAUCAUUCAAGCCAAUUAGAAGAUGGCAAUUUUACCAAGUAAUUCAGGAAAGAGGACAUUGGCUUAGAAAAACAUUUUCAACCAUGAUGACAGGAGCAUCUGGUUGUAUCAAGAAGUAGUAAAGUUUUGACGUAAUUAUGCAUCUAACAAAGUUUGUGUACAAUGCAUAAUAAUAUGGUAUUGUUUACAAGAGUUGAAAUACUUUCUUUGUAUGUUGGUAAUGUGUUAUUUUUCAUUGUUUGUAUCCGGUUUGUAUGAAUUUUAGGGAUACUUCUAUUGUAGUAAGAUUAAGACUCGCACUAGGGUUGGGUGGGGAUUACUGCUGAUGACAGUUCAGAUCUGCCUGUCAUUGGCAGUAAGUGGCAUUUUUACCUUACCCCACCUUUGAUGUAAAAAUUUUAUACAGUAAUGUUUUGAUCUAUUUCGAAGUUGCAUGUAGUGAUAUUGGUAUCACUGCAAGGUUUAUAAAUGUAAAUCUAUCAAACUACAUUUUCAUUUUUGUAAUAGUUUUACAAAAUUGUCAUUUGGUAAUAAAUGACCUUUUUCAACUUCAAA